GAAAGAUUGAAGUAGCUUUGAGAACGCAGGACGCCCCCUUGUGUUAGCAGAAACACAUCUGAGUAAAUUCAAAGUCCAACAUUUCAUCAAGCCAAGCUACAUCAGUAGAUGUGCAAAUUGAAAGAAAAUCAAAAUGAUAGUUGCUUUGUUUUGUUUUUUCUAGCAUGUUUCCUUAAUAAAGCUGUGAACAUGAUCAAAGGUCCGAGUCAUGAGACUAAAAACAAAAACAGGAUCCUGGAUCCUGUUGGAGCUGAGAAUGACAAACAGAAGAGCAGCGAUUCAUCAACUUGGGUGGUGGUCGUCGUGGUGAUUGUGGCGAUUGCUGUUAUCCUCCUGGUUUGUGCUGCUGUCGUCAACAGAAAAAGCUGGUUUGGCAAGAAGAAAACCUUGAUGAUCACAGGCAAAGAUGGCAGUGAGGGCAAUGGGACGGCAGCAGCGGUGGCAGUGGCAGCUUCCAGCCCUCAUAACCAGGAGAGGGAGCAAGAAAUGGUCACCCUCAUGAGCAAGGAGAACAUCCGGGAGAACGGCAACACGGAGGAGUUCACCGUCAUCAAACUGGAGGAGUCUCCGGAUAAAGACCAGCAGGCGUGA
Molecule: long non-coding RNA, 591 nt
Filed under: Nothobranchius furzeri (turquoise killifish)
Lineage: Eukaryota; Metazoa; Chordata; Actinopteri; Cyprinodontiformes; Nothobranchiidae
Description: lncRNA (ENSNFUG00015017475.1)
Source: RNAcentral